UGCAUCACGUGUGACCUGCCCA
This 22-nucleotide microRNA is filed under the name Ornithorhynchus anatinus (platypus). RNAcentral's name for it is "Oan-Mir-1421-P36b_3p* (star (passenger))". The record is from RNAcentral. Lineage: Eukaryota; Metazoa; Chordata; Mammalia; Monotremata; Ornithorhynchidae.